AUGCUGGAGGUAUCAGAAGUGCGAAUGCUGACAUAAGUAACGAUAAAGCGGGUGAAAAGCCCGCUCGCCGGAAGACCAAGGGUUCCUGUCCAACGUUAAUCGGGGCAGGGUGAGUCGACCCCUAAGGCGAGGCCGAAAGGCGUAGUCGAUGGGAAACAGGUUAAUAUUCCUGUACUUGGUGUUACUGCGAAGGGGGGACGGAGAAGGCUAUGUUGGCCGGGCGACGGUUGUCCCGGUUUAAGCGUGUAGGCUGGUUUUCCAGGCAAAUCCGGAAAAUCAAGGCUGAGGCGUGAUGACGAGGCACUACGGUGCUGAAGCAACAAAUGCCCUGCUUCCAGGAAAAGCCUCUAAGCAUCAGGUAACAUCAAAUCGUACCCCAAACCGACACAGGUGGUCAGGUAGAGAAUACCAAGGCGCUUGAGAGAACUCGGGUGAAGGAACUAGGCAAAAUGGUGCCGUAACUUCGGGAGAAGGCACGCUGAUAUGUAGGUGAAGUCCCUCGCGGAUGGAGCUGAAAUCAGUCGAAGAUACCAGCUGGCUGCAACUGUUUAUUAAAAACACAGCACUGUGCAAACACGAAAGUGGACGUAUACGGUGUGACGCCUGCCCGGUGCCGGAAGGUUAAUUGAUGGGGUUAGCCGCAAGGCGAAGCUCUUGAUCGAAGCCCCGGUAAACGGCGGCCGUAACUAUAACGGUCCUAAGGUAGCGAAAUUCCUUGUCGGGUAAGUUCCGACCUGCACGAAUGGCGUAAUGAUGGCCAGGCUGUCUCCACCCGAGACUCAGUGAAAUUGAACUCGCUGUGAAGAUGCAGUGUACCCGCGGCAAGACGGAAAGACCCCGUGAACCUUUACUAUAGCUUGACACUGAACAUUGAGCCUUGAUGUGUAGGAUAGGUGGGAGGCUUUGAAGUGUGGACGCCAGUCUGCAUGGAGCCGACCUUGAAAUACCACCCUUUAAUGUUUGAUGUUCUAACGUUGACCCGUAAUCCGGGUUGCGGACAGUGUCUGGUGGGUAGUUUGACUGGGGCGGUCUCCUCCUAAAGAGUAACGGAGGAGCACGAAGGUUGGCUAAUCCUGGUCGGACAUCAGGAGGUUAGUGCAAUGGCAUAAGCCAGCUUGACUGCGAGCGUGACGGCGCGAGCAGGUGCGAAAGCAGGUCAUAGUGAUCCGGUGGUUCUGAAUGGAAGGGCCAUCGCUCAACGGAUAAAAGGUACUCCGGGGAUAACAGGCUGAUACCGCCCAAGAGUUCAUAUCGACGGCGGUGUUUGGCACCUCGAUGUCGGCUCAUCACAUCCUGGGGCUGAAGUAGGUCCCAAGGGUAUGGCUGUUCGCCAUUUAAAGUGGUACGCGAGCUGGGUUUAGAACGUCGUGAGACAGUUCGGUCCCUAUCUGCCGUGGGCGCUGGAGAACUGAGGGGGGCUGCUCCUAGUACGAGAGGACCGGAGUGGACGCAUCACUGGUGUUCGGGUUGUCAUGCCAAUGGCACUGCCCGGUAGCUAAAUGCGGAAGAGAUAAGUGCUGAAAGCAUCUAAGCACGAAACUUGCCCCGAGAUGAGUUCUCCCUGACUCCUUGAGAGUCCUGAAGGAACGUUGAAGACGACGACGUUGAUAGGCCGGGUGUGUAAGCGCAGCGAUGCGUUGAGCUAACCGGUACUAAUGAACCGUGAGGCUUAACCUUACAACGCCGAAGGUGUUU
Molecule: ribosomal RNA, 1695 nt
Filed under: Escherichia coli
Lineage: Bacteria; Pseudomonadati; Pseudomonadota; Gammaproteobacteria; Enterobacterales; Enterobacteriaceae
Description: partial 23S ribosomal RNA
Rfam family: Bacterial large subunit ribosomal RNA
Source: RNAcentral